UAUGCAGUUUCAUUUAUUUUUACAUCUCACUCUACCAUCUGUGAUGAGUGAUUUCUUUUUUGGACAGGACUUCAUCACAGAAAUAUUCCAUGGGAGGCCAUCUCACUGUAGAUUAAAAUGGAGUGAAAAAUGCAAGUGUCAUAUCUCCAUGCCGAAUCCAUUAGCUCUUAUUUCCAGCCCUUUCUCACCUCAUCUCAACUCCAGCGCGCCUUUGAGGGGCUGGGAAGGCCAGCGUGUUGGGGGAGGCGCCUGGGCCUCUGGGACUGGGCCUGGCUGCGUCAAGGUGGGGCUGACAUGAAGUCCCCUUCAUCUGUCCGGGGUGGCCCGUCCUUCUGGGA
This 338-nucleotide long non-coding RNA is filed under the name Pan troglodytes (chimpanzee). Its description in RNAcentral is "long non-coding RNA NONPTRT015640". The record is from RNAcentral. Lineage: Eukaryota; Metazoa; Chordata; Mammalia; Primates; Hominidae.